CAGCGCCACGAGUGGGAACCGCAUUUAUUUGGCCUAAAGCGUCCGUAGCUGGUUCGGAAAAUCCUUUGUGAAAUCAUCUAGCUUAACUAGAUGGCGUGCAGGGGACACUACUGGACUCGAGACCGGGAGGAGUCAGGGGUAUUCUGUGGUGAGCGGUAAAAUGCAAUAAUCCUCAGAGGACCACCUGUGGCGAAGGCGCCUGACUAGAACGGUUCUGACAGUGAGGGACGAAAGCUAGGGGAGCGAUCCGGAUUAGAUACCCGAGUAGUCC
Molecule: ribosomal RNA, 271 nt
Filed under: uncultured archaeon
Lineage: Archaea
Description: partial 16S ribosomal RNA
Rfam family: Archaeal small subunit ribosomal RNA
Source: RNAcentral